UUCGUUCCCGUCUUAAAUUUCUGAUGGAGCCUCUAUACAUAGUUAGUUUCUAUAAACUAUAAUUUUAUAGAUUAUUGAAUGUGAAUAAAUACAAUAAUUAUGUUGGAAAAUUCAAAAAUUUUGACGUGGUUUUGUGUAGUGAAAUAAAUUGCGGCCAGCCUGAAGCUUUACAACUUAAUCAGGAUUGGUGCAUGAAUUCGUGAGUUCAGCUGAGCAAGGGAAGAUUGGCUAACAGCUGCUCGAAUGGCUCCGAAAGCAUUAUAGCUAAAAGGCAGCUGAUUCGCGAGUGCAGUUGUCAUCAGAUUGGAAUCGCGAUCAGCUGAGAAGAUUUGGGCGGAUCCAGCUUUGGUGCCAGGAGGGGGUCACAUAGUCAUGGUCAAGUCAAGAAUUUAUAAUUAAAUUUUGAUAACAAUAGAUACAAGUAAAAAGUAGGUAUUUUAUUAUAAGCACAUUAAAGGUAUAAAGAAAUUUUAGUUUUUUAACUUAGAACUAUGUUAGGAUAUGUUGAAGUUUAGUAGGUGAAUGAAGUUAGCCCCUCAAAAAAUUUUUUUUUUCCUAUUUUAUACUUAUUUUCUAUUAAUUCGUUUGUUCAUCAUUUGUUCAUGAUUGUUCACUGUUAAUAAUUGUUUGUUCUGCAUUUAUUUAUUUAAAAAAAAUAUUUAAAAAUAUACCUACAAGUUAGC
Bombyx mori (domestic silkworm) is the source of this 683-nucleotide long non-coding RNA. RefSeq lists it as uncharacterized. Lineage: Eukaryota; Metazoa; Arthropoda; Insecta; Lepidoptera; Bombycidae. The transcript is spliced from 3 exons. The record is from RefSeq and is a predicted model, not a curated record.